ACAGGGCUCCCAAUGGGAGGA
RNAcentral lists this unclassified non-coding RNA (21 nucleotides) under Mus musculus (house mouse). Its description in RNAcentral is "oocyte_clustered_small_RNA12526". Lineage: Eukaryota; Metazoa; Chordata; Mammalia; Rodentia; Muridae. The record is from RNAcentral.